This 611-nucleotide long non-coding RNA is filed under the name Elaeis guineensis (African oil palm). Its description in RNAcentral is "long non-coding RNA (EGUI_LNC065757)". The record is from RNAcentral. Lineage: Eukaryota; Viridiplantae; Streptophyta; Magnoliopsida; Arecales; Arecaceae.
ACACUGACUGCCAAAAAGGCUUUUUUGGGAACGUUGGUGGUCUUCUUCUUUGUGCAUAGGUCUUUGAGAAAUUUGGCGUAUAUGAAAACUUGUUGGAUCAUGUCUACUAGAGGGAUAUUUACUUUCACUUGUUUAGACAUCUCUAAGAUUUGAUCCAUAUGGGCUAAAUAUCUGUUGGACCUAAGUCUAUUUGAAAAAGAAGCUACAAGAUCGAUGGGUGAUGUCUCGAAUUGCUUAAACUCUGAGGUAGAUUUUACAAGUAGCUUAGGUGGUUUGUUAAUCUCUGUUGACUUCUUAGACUUAUCUGACUCCUUAGACUCAGUCUGAUCGGUCACUUGCUCAUGAGAUGGUUUAGACAAUAGGUCAUCUUGGUCUUCAGCUAUACUGACAUGGUUGUCUAUUUAUUUUUCAGAUCUUAAGGUGUGAAUUGCAUUUAAUUGAUUGAUCUGGGCUCCUUGUCGUGGUCUUUAAUUGUUUUGAGUUCUAAGAUUAGCCUCAGGUUAACUCGAUAAUUUAUCUUUUUUUCUUUCACUCACAGUUGUGGCUAAUUGACCUAACUGCAUCUCUAAACGGAUAAUAGCCUGGGUGUUAGAAGUUAAAAGCUGCCCGUC